AACGCACCUUGCACCCUUUGGUAUUCCAAAGGGUACACCCGUUUGAGUAUCAUUGUAACCUCACCACAUCAACUUGUUGAUGUUGUGGACUUGGAUGCUGCCGUGUCAUGACGACUCAUCUGAAAUGUCUGAGUACAUCCUGAUUUGUGGUGUGUUCGGUGUGAUAAAUCUUCACCGAGUUGACCUCUCAGGUCACACCCACUUGACAUGGCUCUGUGCUUCUAACCGUCUCCCAUGUGAGACAACUCCUGACAAUUUGAUCUCAAAUCGGGUGGGACUACCCGCUGAACUUAA
RNAcentral lists this unclassified non-coding RNA (294 nucleotides) under uncultured fungus. Its description in RNAcentral is "sequence contains ITS2". Lineage: Eukaryota; Fungi. The record is from RNAcentral.